CCCUUAGAUGUCCUGGGCCGCACGCGUGCUACACUGACACCUGCAACGAGUUAUUCCAGCUCCGAAAGGCAGUUGGUAAUCAGAAAUAGGUGUCGUGAUGGGGAUAGACCCUUGGAAUUAUGGAUCUUGAACGAGGAAUGCCUAGUAAGCGCACGUCAUUAGCGUGCGCUGAUUAAGUCCCUGCCCUUUGUACACACCGCCCGUCACUCCUACCGAUUUCGAGUGGUCCGGUGAGCCUUUUGGAGAGUGAGCGUCCUUGAGGCGCUUGCUCGAAGUCAGGCAAAUCUUACUACUUAGAGGAAGGAUAAGUCGUAACA
Molecule: ribosomal RNA, 317 nt
Filed under: uncultured eukaryote
Lineage: Eukaryota
Description: partial 18S ribosomal RNA
Rfam family: Eukaryotic small subunit ribosomal RNA
Source: RNAcentral